GCGCAAUUCUCAGCAGUUUCUGCUCAUUUAAACAUAAUUGUCAGUCUCUCCAUCUUGUACCUUGUGAGAGAGAAUUUGGCACAGUGAGAUGAGUAGCCGCCUUGCGCCCAGGAGGUCCAGGUUCGAAUCCUGCUCAGGGAGACUUUUUUUUUUUUCCACCACCAUACAACUUUUUGCAACUUUUCAUCUUUUUCAGCUUUUCAGCAGACAGCUUCAGCGUUAAGGCAUCCACACAGCAUUUUCGCAGGAAAUGCAAAUUUUUCUAGUUUUUCUAGUUCUUUAUUAUUCUGCAAGUUGCUUCCAUACGUUUUUCGGCACUUAACUACUCCCUCAGUUUUCAGCCGAUUUUCUCCGUUCAAACUCUAAACUGUUCUGCUCUUUCUGCUAAUUCCAGCUAUAUCUUUUGGUGUUUAUUACUAUUAUACUUUUUAAAAUAUUACACUUUUUUCCUUU
RNAcentral lists this long non-coding RNA (453 nucleotides) under Oreochromis niloticus (Nile tilapia). RNAcentral describes it as "lncRNA (ENSONIG00000034386.1)". Lineage: Eukaryota; Metazoa; Chordata; Actinopteri; Cichliformes; Cichlidae. The record is from RNAcentral.